GUAGGGAAUAUUGGACAAUGGGGGCAACCCUGAUCCAGCGACGCCGCGUGAGUGAUGAAGGCCUUCGGGUCGUAAAGCUCUGUUGCAGGGGAAGAACACAAUGACGGUACCCUGCUAGAAAGGAUCGGCUAACUUCGUGCCAGCAGCCGCGGUAAGACGAGGGAUCCUAGCGUUGUUCGGAAUUAUUGGGCGUAAAGCGGGUGCAGGUGGCUUGGUAAGUCAGAUGUGAAAGCCUGGGGCUUAACCCCAGAAGUGCAUUUGAUACUGCUGAGCUUGAGUGCUGGAGAGGCUAUUAGAAUUCCUGGUGUAGUGGUGAAAUACGUAGAUAUCAGGAGGAAUACCGGAGGCGAAGGCGGAUAGCUGGCCAGACACUGACACUCAGACCCGAAAGCGUGGGGAUCAAACAGGAUUAGAAACCCGGGUAGUCC
This 428-nucleotide ribosomal RNA is filed under the name uncultured bacterium. RNAcentral's name for it is "bacterial SSU rRNA". It matches the Rfam family "Bacterial small subunit ribosomal RNA", at positions 354 to 796 of the family's 1533-position model. The record is from RNAcentral.